This 326-nucleotide ribosomal RNA is filed under the name uncultured eukaryote. Its description in RNAcentral is "partial 18S ribosomal RNA". It matches the Rfam family "Eukaryotic small subunit ribosomal RNA", at positions 1470 to 1796 of the family's 1831-position model. The record is from RNAcentral.
CCCUUAGAUGUUCUGGGCCGCACGCGCGCUACACUGAAGGGAUCAGCGUGUUUUCCCUUCCCGAGAGGGACGGGUAACCCGCUGAACCCCCUUCGUGGUAGGGAUCGGAGCUUGCAAUUGUUCUCCGUGAACCAGGAAUUCCCAGUAAGCGCAAGUCAUAAGCUUGCGUUGAUUACGUCCCUGCCCUUUGUACACACCGCCCGUCGCUACUACCGAUUGAACGUUUUAGUGAGGUAUUUGGACUGGGCCUUGGGAGGUUUCGGCCUCCCUUGUUGCUCGGAAAGACUCCCAAACUUGAGCGUUUAGAGGAAGGAGAAGUCGUAACA